ACUGCUGGACAAGGAGUGUUCUGUUGAGCUCAUUUUCACACGAUGAACAACUGGCUUAGAACUGAUUCGGGCAAGGGGAAUCCGACUGUUUAAUUGAAACAAAGCAUUGCGAGGGCCUCAAAGGGUGGUGCCACAAUGUGAUUUCUGCCCAGUGCUCUGAAUGUCAAAGUGAGGAAAUUCAACUAAGCGCGGGUAAACGGCGGGAGUAACUAUGACUCUCUUAAGGUAGCCAAAUGCCUCGUCAUCCAAUUAGUGACGCGCAUGAAUGGAUUAAUGAGAUUCCCACUGUCCCCAUCUACUGUCCAGCGAAACCACAGCCAAGGGAACGGGCUUGGGUAAAUCAGCGGGGAAAGAAGACCCUGUUGAGCUUGACUCUAAUCUGACUUUGUGAAAUGACUUAGGAGGUGUAGGAUAUGUGGGAGCUCUGGUGAUCUUGAAAUACCACUACUYUUAAUGUCACUUUACUUACUCUAUCAGACUGUGGCCUGCUUCCCAGCAGGUUUUUGUUUCAAGGCAUCUCAUCUGACUUGUUGACUUGCGUAGAGGACGUAGUCAGGUGGGCAGUUUGGCUGGGGCGGCACAUCUGUUAAAGGAUAACGCAGGUGUCCCAAGGUAAUGCUCAAGGAGAACAGAAAUCUCAUGUGGAUCAGAA
RNAcentral lists this ribosomal RNA (652 nucleotides) under Gambierdiscus australes. RNAcentral's name for it is "partial large subunit ribosomal RNA". Lineage: Eukaryota; Dinophyceae; Gonyaulacales; Pyrocystaceae. The record is from RNAcentral.